AAGAUGAUCUCGCGGCCUAUCAGCUUGUUGGUGAGGUAAUGGCUCACCAAGGCGACGACGGGUAGCCGGCCUGAGAGGGCGACCGGCCACACUGGGACUGAGACACGGCCCAGACUCCUACGGGAGGCAGCAGUGGGGAAUAUUGGGCAAUGGAGGAAACUCUGACCCAGCGACGCCGCGUGCGGGAUGAAGGCCUUCGGGUUGUAAACCGCUUUCAGUAGGGAAGAAGCGAAAGUGACGGUACCUACAGAAGAAGCACCGGCUAACUAUGUGCCAGCAGCCGCGGUAAUACAUAGGGUGCAAGCGUUGUCCGGAAUUAUUGGGCGUAAAGAGCUCGUAGGUGGUUCGUUACGUCGGAUGUGAAAAUCUGGGGCUCAACCCCAGACCUGCAUCCGAUACGGUCGAGCUAGAGUUUGGUAGGGGAGACUGGAAUUCCUGGUGUAGCGGUGGAAUGCGCAGAUAUCAGGAGGAACACCAAUGGCGAAGGCAGGUCUCUGGGCCAAUACUGACACUGAGGAGCGAAAGCGUGGGGAGCGAACAGGAUUAGAUACCCUGGUAGUCCACGCCGUAAACGGUGGGCGCUAGUUGUGGGAACCUUCCACGGUUUCUGCGACGCAGCUAACGC
This 625-nucleotide ribosomal RNA is filed under the name uncultured bacterium. RNAcentral describes it as "bacterial SSU rRNA". It matches the Rfam family "Bacterial small subunit ribosomal RNA", at positions 222 to 858 of the family's 1533-position model. The record is from RNAcentral.